RNAcentral lists this ribosomal RNA (496 nucleotides) under uncultured bacterium. Its description in RNAcentral is "partial 16S ribosomal RNA". It matches the Rfam family "Bacterial small subunit ribosomal RNA", at positions 28 to 506 of the family's 1533-position model. The record is from RNAcentral.
GAUGAACGCUGGCGGCGUGCCUAAUACAUGCAAGUCGAGCGAACAGACGAGGAGCUUGCUCCUCUGACGUUAGCGGCGGACGGGUGAGUAACACGUGGAUAACCUACCUAUAAGACUUGGAUAACUUCGGGAAACCGGAGCUAAUACCGGAUAAUAUAUUGAACCGCAUGGUUCAAUAGUGAAAGACGGUUUUGCUGUCACUUAUAGAUGGAUCCGCGCCGCAUUAGCUAGUUGGUAAGGUAACGGCUUACCAAGGCGACGAUGCGUAGCCGACCUGAGAGGGGGAUCGGCCACACUGGAACUGAGACACGGUCCAGACUCCUACGGGAGGCAGCAGUAGGGAAUCUUCCGCAAUGGGCGAAAGCCUGACGGAGCAACGCCGCGUGAGUGAUGAAGGUCUUCGGAUCGUAAAACUCUGUUAUUAGGGAAGAACAAAUGUGUAAGUAACUAUGCACGUCUUGACGGUACCUAAUCAGAAAGCCACGGCUAACUACGU